AAUUUUAGACAAUGGGCGAAAGCCUGAUCCAGCAAUGCCGCGGGCAGGAUGAAGGCCUUCGGGUUGUAAACUGCUGUUGUACGGAAAGAAAAGAGUCGGGUUAAUACCUCAGUUUCAUGACCGUACCGAUAUAAUAAGCACCGGGUAAUUACGUGACAUCAGCCGCGGUAAUACGUAGGGUGGAAGCGUUAAUCCGAAUUACUGGGCGUAAAGCGUGCGCAGGCGGUUUUGUAAGACAGAGGUGAAAUCCCCGGGCUCAACCUGGGAACUGCCUUUGUGACUGCAAGGCUAGAGUACGGCAGAGGGGGGUGGAAUUCCGCGUGUAGCAGUGAAAUGCGUAGAUAUGCGGAGGAACACCGAUGGCGAAGGCAACCCCCUGGGCCUGUACUGACGCUCAUGCACGAAAGCGUGGGGAGCAAACA
RNAcentral lists this ribosomal RNA (422 nucleotides) under uncultured bacterium. RNAcentral's name for it is "partial 16S ribosomal RNA". It matches the Rfam family "Bacterial small subunit ribosomal RNA", at positions 360 to 774 of the family's 1533-position model. The record is from RNAcentral.